CUACGGGUCGCAGCAGUGGGGAAUAUUGCACAAUGGAGGAAACUCUGAUGCAGCAACGCCGCGUGGAGGAUGACACUUUUCGGAGCGUAAACUCCUUUUAUAUAGGAAGAAGAUGACGGUACUAUAUGAAUAAGCGCCGGCUAACUCCGUGCCAGCAGCCGCGGUAAUACGGAGGGCGCAAGCGUUACUCGGAAUCACUGGGCGUAAAGGGCGUGUAGGCGGAUUAAAAAGUCAGAAGUGAAAUCCUAUAGCUUAACUAUAGAACUGCUUCUGAAACUCUUAAUCUAGAAUAUGGGAGAGGUAGAUGGAAUUUCUGGUGUAGGGGUAAUAUCCGUAGAGAUCAGAAGGAAUACCGAUUGCGAAGGCGAUCUACUAGAACAUUAUUGACGCUGAGACGCGAAAGCGUGGGGAGCAAACAGGAUUAGAUACCCUGGUAGUC
RNAcentral lists this ribosomal RNA (439 nucleotides) under uncultured bacterium. RNAcentral's name for it is "partial 16S ribosomal RNA". It matches the Rfam family "Bacterial small subunit ribosomal RNA", at positions 339 to 795 of the family's 1533-position model. The record is from RNAcentral.